RNAcentral lists this ribosomal RNA (1412 nucleotides) under Escherichia coli. RNAcentral's name for it is "partial 23S ribosomal RNA". It matches the Rfam family "Bacterial large subunit ribosomal RNA", at positions 1555 to 2925 of the family's 2925-position model. Lineage: Bacteria; Pseudomonadati; Pseudomonadota; Gammaproteobacteria; Enterobacterales; Enterobacteriaceae. RNAcentral also lists the same sequence under 1 other name. The record is from RNAcentral.
GCUGAGGCGUGAUGACGAGGCACUACGGUGCUGAAGCAACAAAUGCCCUGCUUCCAGGAAAAGCCUCUAAGCAUCAGGUAACAUCAAAUCGUACCCCAAACCGACACAGGUGGUCAGGUAGAGAAUACCAAGGCGCUUGAGAGAACUCGGGUGAAGGAACUAGGCAAAAUGGUGCCGUAACUUCGGGAGAAGGCACGCUGAUAUGUAGGUGAAGUCCCUCGCGGAUGGAGCUGAAAUCAGUCGAAGAUACCAGCUGGCUGCAACUGUUUAUUAAAAACACAGCACUGUGCAAACACGAAAGUGGACGUAUACGGUGUGACGCCUGCCCGGUGCCGGAAGGUUAAUUGAUGGGGUCAGCGCAAGCGAAGCUCUUGAUCGAAGCCCCGGUAAACGGCGGCCGUAACUAUAACGGUCCUAAGGUAGCGAAAUUCCUUGUCGGGUAAGUUCCGACCUGCACGAAUGGCGUAAUGAUGGCCAGGCUGUCUCCACCCGAGACUCAGUGAAAUUGAACUCGCUGUGAAGAUGCAGUGUACCCGCGGCAAGACGGAAAGACCCCGUGAACCUUUACUAUAGCUUGACACUGAACAUUGAGCCUUGAUGUGUAGGAUAGGUGGGAGGCUUUGAAGUGUGGACGCCAGUCUGCAUGGAGCCGACCUUGAAAUACCACCCUUUAAUGUUUGAUGUUCUAACGUGGACCCGUGAUCCGGGUUGCGGACAGUGUCUGGUGGGUAGUUUGACUGGGGCGGUCUCCUCCUAAAGAGUAACGGAGGAGCACGAAGGUUGGCUAAUCCUGGUCGGACAUCAGGAGGUUAGUGCAAUGGCAUAAGCCAGCUUGACUGCGAGCGUGACGGCGCGAGCAGGUGCGAAAGCAGGUCAUAGUGAUCCGGUGGUUCUGAAUGGAAGGGCCAUCGCUCAACGGAUAAAAGGUACUCCGGGGAUAACAGGCUGAUACCGCCCAAGAGUUCAUAUCGACGGCGGUGUUUGGCACCUCGAUGUCGGCUCAUCACAUCCUGGGGCUGAAGUAGGUCCCAAGGGUAUGGCUGUUCGCCAUUUAAAGUGGUACGCGAGCUGGGUUUAGAACGUCGUGAGACAGUUCGGUCCCUAUCUGCCGUGGGCGCUGGAGAACUGAGGGGGGCUGCUCCUAGUACGAGAGGACCGGAGUGGACGCAUCACUGGUGUUCGGGUUGUCAUGCCAAUGGCACUGCCCGGUAGCUAAAUGCGGAAGAGAUAAGUGCUGAAAGCAUCUAAGCACGAAACUUGCCCCGAGAUGAGUUCUCCCUGACCCUUUAAGGGUCCUGAAGGAACGUUGAAGACGACGACGUUGAUAGGCCGGGUGUGUAAGCGCAGCGAUGCGUUGAGCUAACCGGUACUAAUGAACCGUGAGGCUUAACCUUACAACGCCGAAGGUGUUU